CUACAAACCGGUGCUAUCGUCUUUGCCGUUGCAAAACGGGGGGAAGGAAAGUCCGGACAGCAUAGGGCAACGCACCACCUAACGGGUGGGAUCCUGGUGAAAGACCGGGAUACAGACAGUGCCACAGAAAAUAACCGCUCCCGCGAUAGCGGGAGUAAGGGUGAAAAUGUGGGGUAAGAGCCCACGUUCCGGUAUGGCAACAUGCCGGGAGGGUAAACCUUGCGUGCUGAAAUGCCAUGUAUACGGUCGUUUGAGGGCUGCCCGCCCGAUGACCGAGGGUAGGCAGAUACAGGUGACGUGCGAACGUCAUCGCAGAUAAAUGAUAGCAGUUCUCCCGCUUGCGGGAGGAAACAGAAUCCGGCUUACAAGGUUUGUAGUUUU
Molecule: RNase P RNA, 381 nt
Filed under: Chitinophaga agrisoli
Lineage: Bacteria; Pseudomonadati; Bacteroidota; Chitinophagia; Chitinophagales; Chitinophagaceae
Description: Chitinophaga sp. BN140078 RNase P RNA component class A
Rfam family: Bacterial RNase P class A
About the family: Ribonuclease P (RNase P) is a ubiquitous endoribonuclease, found in archaea, bacteria and eukarya as well as chloroplasts and mitochondria.
Source: RNAcentral